RNAcentral lists this long non-coding RNA (822 nucleotides) under Numida meleagris (helmeted guineafowl). RNAcentral describes it as "lncRNA (ENSNMEG00000018182.1)". Lineage: Eukaryota; Metazoa; Chordata; Aves; Galliformes; Numididae. The record is from RNAcentral.
AGCACUCAAAGAGAGUGGUGCUGCACAGGUAAAAACUAAUCCCAGAUCUGGAACUAUGAAUGAAAAUCUCUCCUGAGAAAGUGAGGUUUUCAGAUUGCUGUUUUUCAAUUACUUGUACCACUGUGAAGAUUUGGGGCUGGGGAGAGAGGAAGGGCUUGGUUCUGCUAGAGCCCUAGUCUCCCUGCUUCCUCACCCAGUUUACACCAUGUUGUUCCACACCCAGAUUAUGACUCUUUUUCUCAAACUGCCAACAAAUGAGAAUGUAACAUCCAAAAUUUAUUUCGGUUUUUGUUUUUCCUUCCCCACACCACUUCUCCUCUAUCUCCAGGGCAAACACCACACAUGAAACAGGAGAGAAAGUCUCACUUCUGCUCUUUUUAUACCAUAUAGCAUGGAUUUCAUUGUGGACUGCUCUUGCUGAAGCCGCUUGUUUCUGGGAAUCUACUGAAGUCCAUUAAGGAGAAGGCUAAUCUGCCACGCAUAUCUCUUAAUGCAGUUUUCUUGUAAAAUGAGCUGAACAGAAUCAGAUAAUAGAAAUGGUCUCCUACACAGGUUUUCGUAAGCAGGGUGUAAGCUGUACUCCAUCAGACCCUGUCUCACUGAAGAAUAGGAAACAUGGAUGUGAAGACAGAGAAAUAAUUGUCUACAAAGGUCAUAAGAUAACAAAGAUCUUGACUGGCUUGCAAGUCUGAUUGGCAACCAAGAUGUGCUAUGCUGCAACUUCACUUCAUUUCAUUUGGAGGCCUACCAAGGCUAGAAGACAAGCAGAAGGUAACGUGAGGCAAGAAUAAACUGAAGAACACCACAAAGAGAAAAUGUAAU